RNAcentral lists this small nuclear RNA (21 nucleotides) under Arabidopsis thaliana (thale cress). RNAcentral describes it as "snRNA_07263". The record is from RNAcentral. Lineage: Eukaryota; Viridiplantae; Streptophyta; Magnoliopsida; Brassicales; Brassicaceae.
UUAAGAAGUGUUAACAAUGAG